This 177-nucleotide small nuclear RNA is filed under the name Strigamia maritima. RNAcentral describes it as "U2 spliceosomal RNA". It matches the Rfam family "U2 spliceosomal RNA". Rfam says of the family: U2 is a small nuclear RNA (snRNA) component of the spliceosome (involved in pre-mRNA splicing). Complementary binding between U2 snRNA (in an area lying towards the 5' end but 3' to hairpin I) and the branchpoint sequence (BPS) of the intron results the bulging out of an unpaired adenosine, on the BPS, which initiates a nucleophilic attack at the intronic 5' splice site, thus starting the first of two transesterification reactions that mediate splicing. Lineage: Eukaryota; Metazoa; Arthropoda; Chilopoda; Geophilomorpha; Linotaeniidae. The record is from RNAcentral.
UUUACUAAAUAAAAUGGCCCGUAACAAGGUUUCAUUACAUAGUAUCUGACCUUAUCAGCUUAAAAUCUGAUAUUAAACUGAUUUUUGGAACCAAAUGGGGUGCUCGAUCGGAGCUUGCUCCACUCCUGUCACGGAUUGGCCUGGUAUUGCAGUACAUCCAGGAUCGGCCCUCUCCCU